Molecule: unclassified non-coding RNA, 960 nt
Filed under: Gigantopelta aegis
Lineage: Eukaryota; Metazoa; Mollusca; Gastropoda; Neomphalida; Peltospiridae
Description: gamma-aminobutyric acid type B receptor subunit 2- like, transcript variant X1
Source: RNAcentral
CCUUGACAAGGGCGAGUGACCGGGCGCUGAGUUACGAAUACCUCUUAUUAUUUGUUACUGACAUCAUUCUAAUUAAAAAACUGGUCUAUCAACCUUGACCUCGGUUAAAAAAGAUGCAGACAACGCUGUUUACAGGCACGUCACAUAACCAAUUCGUCUUAAGGUUGACGACGGUCACUUUUCGCGGGUGUUUGUAAAACGCGGACCGGAACGGAACGGAACGGAAUCAGGUGCUGAAGGAUAGAGACUUGUAUAUGAAGAUCGGUAUGUUCACUUCCGUCAACCUCUUCAUCAUGGUCGUGUGGUCAGUGAUCGAUCCUAGCCGGCCAAAAGCAAUACUCAUGCAUAGCCGUGUGAAUAUCACAGUAAUGAACGACUCGAAACCGAUCGCGCUGUGCAUCUACAUUGUAAUCCUGCUGUCUAUAGUGGGCCUGCCGGUGUCACUGAUCCAGAAUGAUAACAAUCCCAACGUCUCGUUCAGUGUCAUCAGCAUCCUCAUCAUUACUGGUACAACAUCUACGCAAUGUAAUAUAUUUUUUCCAAAGGUAGAUGCAUUACUCAAGUUUCUUAGAGGUGAGAAAACUGAAAGCAAAUCAAGCCAACAGGCGACGUCAAUUCCCCGAGUUGGUACAACUAUGGAUAGCAUUCAUAACUGAAUUGGUUAUUGGCUGUCUCAGCUUGGUGUAUUUAUUUCUAUAAAGCUACUUAUUUACACUUUAUUAAACUAUUAUUUAUCUUGCAAUGAACACAAAACAGUCAUAUUACCUCUUACCCCAGCCAUAUUUAACUCAACCCUGUGUGCCAGAAUACACGUCUAGUCCAAAUAUAUGUGUGGUAUAGGUUCACAAACACACCACAGUCAAACUCACAAUUAUUUGAUAUUACAUUAUUUGCACAUUUGUUCUUUUAUUAUCCAUAUAAAUUAUGUAAACAGUAUUAAAAAUAUGGAGUUUCACUAAA